Small nucleolar RNA from Tripterygium wilfordii, 210 nucleotides. RefSeq annotates it as small nucleolar RNA U3. Lineage: Eukaryota; Viridiplantae; Streptophyta; Magnoliopsida; Celastrales; Celastraceae. The record is from RefSeq and is a predicted model, not a curated record. The transcript has a single exon.
ACGACCUUACUAGAGCGGGAUCAGUUCUACAGGAUCAUACCUCUGUGUCCUUAAAUUCUAAGGAGGCAGAUACCACAGGCUGGUGGAUGAUUCAUGACCGUAUGAUCAGAGCAUGACUAACAGUAUUGUGGUUCACAAAUCACAAUAGCCGUAAGGAUCAUUCUCAGCCAUUGAUUAGGCUGAGCUGGCCACAUGGUUAUCUGACAGACU